CAGGUCCUUUUUGGCUGUCCUUGCCUCUCUGGUGCACUGUUUCUGAGAAUCUUGUAGAAGCAGCAAGGUUUCUAUAGUGUCCAUGCCUGUUCAGAGGGAUUAUAGCCCCAGAGGAAGAGGAUUUGCCUUUGCAUCCCUGCAUGUGAGGGUGCCCAGGCUUGGGUGGAAGGGUGCACAGGGAGCAGCACCCUCUGCAAGAGAGAUGGAUUUUCUGUCCUGGCAAGUGGGGAGCAGAGUGAGGGGACAGAGGUGUCCAGGUGAGCCUGAGCGAGCUGGUGCACACAGCCAGGUCCCGGGUGUGCAGUUCUGUGCUCUGUACCAGACCACCAGAACCUUUGGAGUGGUACUGGGGCAGGAGUCAUAUUCCACUGACUGUUGCGAGGUUGGCUGA
RNAcentral lists this long non-coding RNA (391 nucleotides) under Taeniopygia guttata (zebra finch). RNAcentral describes it as "lncRNA (ENSTGUG00000023929.1)". Lineage: Eukaryota; Metazoa; Chordata; Aves; Passeriformes; Estrildidae. The record is from RNAcentral.